Molecule: transfer RNA, 86 nt
Filed under: Parcubacteria bacterium DG_74_1
Lineage: Bacteria; Candidatus Parcubacteria
Description: tRNA-Ser
Rfam family: tRNA
About the family: Transfer RNA (tRNA) molecules are approximately 80 nucleotides in length. Their secondary structure includes four short double-helical elements and three loops (D, anti-codon, and T loops).
Source: RNAcentral
GGAGGAGUCGGAUAAUCGGUAUUCCGCCGCACUCGAAACGCGGUGUCCACAAGGACUUGUGGGUUCGAGUCCCACCUCCUCCGCUA